RNAcentral lists this ribosomal RNA (519 nucleotides) under uncultured bacterium. RNAcentral describes it as "bacterial SSU rRNA". It matches the Rfam family "Bacterial small subunit ribosomal RNA", at positions 28 to 524 of the family's 1533-position model. The record is from RNAcentral.
GACGAACGCUGGCGGCGUGCCUAACACAUGCAAGUCGAGCGGUUCUUAAGCUGUAGUUUACUAUAGCUUAAGAAUAGCGGCGAACGGGUGAGUAACACGUGGGCAACCUGUCCGAAAGAUCGGGAUAACAGUCCGAAAGGGCUGCUAAUACCGAAUACGCUUACCGGGUCGCAUGAUCCGGUAAGGAAAGGUCGGCACCUUCCGCUUUCGGGUGGGCCCGCGUCCCAUUAGCUAGUUGGUGAGGUAAAGGCCCCACCAAGGCGAUGAUGGGUAGCCGGCCUGAGAGGGUGUACGGCCACACUGGGACUGAGAUACGGCCCAGACUCCUACGGGAGGCAGCAGCUAAGAAUAUUCCGCAAUGGACGAAAGUCUGACGGAGCGACGCCGCGUGGAUGAAGAAGGCCGAAAGGUUGUAAAGUUCUUUUGCUAGGGGAGAAUAAGUGAGGGAGGGAAUGCCCUCAUGAUGACAAGGACUAGCGAAUAAGCCCCGGCCAACUACGUGCCAGCAGCCGCGGUAAU